CACGUAGGGCGCAAGCGUUGUCCGGAAUUAUUGGGCGUAAAGAGCUCGUAGGUGGUUUGCUGCGUCCGCUGUGAAAACCCAAGGCUUAACCUUGGGCUUGCAGUGGAUACGGGCAGACGUAGAGGUAGGGAGGGGAGAAUGGAAUUCCCGGUGUAGCGGUGAAAUGCGCAGAUAUCGGGAGGAACACCGGUGGCGAAGGCGGUUCUCUGGGCCUUACCUGACACUGAGGAGCGAAAGCGUGGGGAGCGAACAGG
Molecule: ribosomal RNA, 254 nt
Filed under: uncultured bacterium
Lineage: Bacteria
Description: partial 16S ribosomal RNA
Rfam family: Bacterial small subunit ribosomal RNA
Source: RNAcentral